Molecule: unclassified non-coding RNA, 108 nt
Filed under: Microthia havanensis
Lineage: Eukaryota; Fungi; Ascomycota; Sordariomycetes; Diaporthales; Cryphonectriaceae
Description: 5.8 S ribosomal RNA
Rfam family: 5.8S ribosomal RNA
About the family: 5.8S ribosomal RNA (5.8S rRNA) is a component of the large subunit of the eukaryotic ribosome.
Source: RNAcentral
AAACUUUCAACAACGGAUCUCUUGGUUCUGGCAUCGAUGAAGAACGCAGCGAAAUGCGAUAAGUAAUGUGAAUUGCAGAAUUCAGUGAAUCAUCGAAUCUUUGAACGC